AAGGAGCUUGCUCCUUGGGUGACGAGCGGCGGACGGGUGAGUAAUGUCUGGGAAACUGCCUGAUGGAGGGGGAUAACUACUGGAAACGGUAGCUAAUACCGCAUAACGUCGCAAGACCAAAGAGGGGGACCUUCGGGCCUCUUGCCAUCGGAUGUGCCCAGAUGGGAUUAGCUAGUAGGUGAGGUAAAGGCUCACCUAGGCGACGAUCCCUAGCUGGUCUGAGAGGAUGACCAGCCACACUGGAACUGAGACACGGUCCAGACUCCUACGGGAGGCAGCAGUGGGGAAUAUUGCACAAUGGGCGCAAGCCUGAUGCAGCCAUGCCGCGUGUGUGAAGAAGGCCUUCGGGUUGUAAAGCACUUUCAGCGGGGAGGAAGGGAGCAGGCUUAAUACGUCUGUUCAUUGACGUUACCCGCAGAAGAAGCACCGGCUAACUCCGUGCCAGCAGCCGCGGUAAUACGGAGGGUGCAAGCGUUAAUCGGAAUGACUGGGCGUAAAGCGCACGCAGGCGGUCUGUUAAGUUGGAUGUGAAAUCCCCGGGCUUAACCUGGGAACUGCAUUCAAAACUGACAGGCUAGAGUCUCGUAGAGGGGGGUAGAAUUCCAGGUGUAGCGGUGAAAUGCGUAGAGAUCUGGAGGAAUACCGGUGGCGAAGGCGGCCCCCUGGACGAAGACUGACGCUCAGGUGCGAAAGCGUGGGGAGCAAACAGGAUUAGAUACCCUGGUAGUCCACGCUGUAAACGAUGUCGAUUUGGAGGUUGUGGUCUUGAACCGUGGCUUCCGGAGCUAACGCGUUAAAUCGACCGCCUGGGGAGUACGGCCGCAAGGUUAAAACUCAAAUGAAUUGACGGGGGCCCGCACAAGCGGUGGAGCAUGUGGUUUAAUUCGAUGCAACGCGAAGAACCUUACCUACUCUUGACAUCCAGAGAAGACUGCAGAGAUGCGGUUGUGCCUUCGGGAGCUCUGAGACAGGUGCUGCAUGGCUGUCGUCAGCUCGUGUUGUGAAAUGUUGGGUUAAGUCCCGCAACGAGCGCAACCCUUAUCCUUUGUUGCCAGCACUUCGGGUGGGAACUCAAGGGAGACUGCCGGUGAUAAACCGGAGGAAGGUGGGGAUGACGUCAAGUCAUCAUGGCCCUUACGAGUAGGGCUACACACGUGCUACAAUGGCGUAUACAAAGAGAAGCGACCUCGCGAGAGCAAGCGGACCUCAUAAAGUACGUCGUAGUCCGGAUUGGAGUCUGCAACUCGACUCCAUGAAGUCGGAAUCGCUAGUAAUCGUAGAUCAGAAUGCUACGGUGAAUACGUUCCCGGGCCUUGUACACACCGCCCGUCACACCAUGGGAGUGGGUUGCAAAAGAAGUAGGUAGCUUAACCUUCGGGAGGGCGCUUACCACUUUGUGAUUCAUGACUGGGGUGAAGUCGUAACAAGGUAACCGUAGGGGAACCUGCGGUUG
Molecule: ribosomal RNA, 1453 nt
Filed under: Dickeya oryzae NCPPB 3531
Lineage: Bacteria; Pseudomonadati; Pseudomonadota; Gammaproteobacteria; Enterobacterales; Pectobacteriaceae
Description: bacterial SSU rRNA
Rfam family: Bacterial small subunit ribosomal RNA
Source: RNAcentral